RNAcentral lists this ribosomal RNA (147 nucleotides) under uncultured bacterium. RNAcentral's name for it is "partial 16S ribosomal RNA". It matches the Rfam family "Bacterial small subunit ribosomal RNA", at positions 346 to 509 of the family's 1533-position model. The record is from RNAcentral.
AGGCAGCAGUGGGGAAUAUUGCACAAUGGGGGAAAACCCUGAUGCAGCGACGCCGCGUGAAGGAAGAAGUAUCUCGGUAUGUAAACUUCUAUCAGCAGGGAAGAUAGUGACGGUACCUGACUAAGAAGCCCCGGCUAACUACGUGCC